UGCCGCGUGCAGGAUGACAGCCCUACGGGUUGUAAACUGCUUUUAUACAGGAAGAAACACUCCGACGUGUCGGAGCUUGACGGUACUGUAAGAAUAAGGAUCGGCUAACUCCGUGCCAGCAGCCGCGGUAAUACGGAGGAUCCAAGCGUUAUCCGGAAUCAUUGGGUUUAAAGGGUCCGCAGGCUGUUUUUUAAGUCAGAGGUGAAAUCCUACAGCUCAACUGUAGAACUGCCUUUGAUACUGGAAAACUUGAGUUAUUGUGAAGUGGUUAGAAUGUGUGGUGUAGCGGUGAAAUGCAUAGAUAUCACACAGAAUACCGAUUGCGAAGGCAGAUCACUAACAAUAUACUGACGCUCAUGGACGAAAGCGUGGGGAGCGAACAGGAUUAGAUACCCUGGUAGUCCACGCCGUAAACGAUGGAUACUAGCUGUUCGUCUAACAUUGGUUAGAUGAGUGGCUAAGCGAAAGUGAUAAGUAUCUCACCUGGGGAGUACGGUCGCAAGACUGAAACUCAAAGGAAUUGACGGGGGCCCGCACAAGCGGUGGAGCAUGUGGUUUAAUUCGAUGAUACGCGAGGAACCUUACCAGGGCUUAAAUGUAGUGGGACAGGUCUAGAGAUAGACCCUUCUUCGGACUCAUUACAAGGUGCUGCAUGGUUGUCGUCAGCUCGUGCCGUGAGGUGUCAGGUUAAGUCCUAUAACGAGCGCAACCCCUAUCGUUAGUUGCCAGCGAGUAAUGUCGG
Molecule: ribosomal RNA, 742 nt
Filed under: uncultured Flavobacteriaceae bacterium
Lineage: Bacteria; Pseudomonadati; Bacteroidota; Flavobacteriia; Flavobacteriales; Flavobacteriaceae
Description: bacterial SSU rRNA
Rfam family: Bacterial small subunit ribosomal RNA
Source: RNAcentral